This 253-nucleotide ribosomal RNA is filed under the name uncultured bacterium. Its description in RNAcentral is "partial 16S ribosomal RNA". It matches the Rfam family "Bacterial small subunit ribosomal RNA", at positions 524 to 776 of the family's 1533-position model. The record is from RNAcentral.
UACGUAGGGGGCUAGCGUUGUCCGGAAUCAUUGGGCGUAAAGAGCGUGUAGGCGGCCCGGUAAGUCCGCUGUCAAAGUCAAAGGCUCAACCUUUGAAUGUCAGUGGAUACUGCCGGGCUAGAGUCCGGAAGAGGCGAGUGGAACUCCUGGUGUAGCGGUGGAAUGCGCAGAUAUCAGGAGGAACACCGGUGGCGAAGGCGGAUCUCUGGGCCUGUCCUGACGCUGAGGCGCGAAAGCUAGGGGAGCGAACAGG